AUUAUGUUCACUCCGGGGCCUGAAAAGCCCCAUAAUUCAAUUUGCGAUUAUUGUACAUCCGCUAAGUCAGGCAAAAUGUAAAACAAUCAUUACUAUGGAGAAGUCAGCAUGCAAGUCUCUGCGCUGCUCCGUGACGCUCAAGAAGUAUGAAUGCCCUGACUUGUGCAGAGGCCAUAUUACCGUAAACGCUGAACGACCAAUGCAGACAUUGUAUUGAUUGACCGACCGCAGUGCCUUUACCCUCAACUCUUGUAACAAUGCGGUAUCUGCAGUAUCUGGUUGAUGAUCUACUUGGUGGGGACGAUCAGUGAUGGUCCUGUACUAUGAAUCAUUUUCACCUGUGGAGUUUCAUGACCUGCCCCCCGAGGUGAAGCAGUGGGAUGGACCGAGACAUCGAUAAUUAGGGUCAUUAGCCAGGGCUGGGAAGCUUCCCACUGGACACAGAUGUCAGUUCAUCAUCUAGUUUUGAUUUACAUUUGAUUGAGUUGUCAGCUAACAUGAAUUCAACAUGAAAUUAACAAAAAAUGUCACAAGGUCAUUGGAUUUAGGUUAAAAGUUGAGAGAAAAAAAUACUAAAUUCCAUUUACGUUGAUGACUUUUUUUCAAAUUCAAUCAGUUUUCCAUGUUGAUUCAACGUCGUCAUAUAAAAUGUUGGGGUUGAAAUGACAUGGAAACAAUAUUGAUUCAACCAGUUUUUGCCCAGUGGGUUGUGGUUUGACUGUCAACAAUAAGUGUCAUCACAAACAGGUUUGUCGAGGACCUAUUGUGAAAAAGGCUUUCUCUGGCAGGUGUAGAUUUAAUUAUGUUCCCACUAGAAACGAGGCAAGCCUGCUAACUGACUUAACGUGUACAUCCCGUCAUGCCAAUACAGAAUAGGAGAAAUCCUGUCGCUUCUCUUAUUUUUCACAUUUAUAAAACUGAGCUCAUUUAGGCCCCUUCAGUUGAUUAUUCUGUCUGUAAAUUAUUGUAAUAUGGUGCAAAAAUAUCUACUUAAUAUGAAGCCUAUAUACUGGAGAUGAUAAAGCAAUGCCACGAAUGGAGAAAAGUCAAGUCAUGUGAAUAUGCCCAACAGCGCCCCUACACUCCUGGGAAGUAUCCUACAUGGUGUUUUGGUUUGUUUACAUCUAGGUAUAUCAAGUGCGCACUGUCAUGCAAUCACAACACCACAUAUGUCAGUAUGGCCUUCAUUCACAUAACAGUCAUAAGAUUCAUAUUAAUAUAAGUAAGUAGCACGCAUAGUCCUUUUAUAAACGCGAACUUAUUAUAAACAUGACUAUAGUCUACAGUAACUUCAUUUAAUCAGUAACAACUUGUUUGUAAACAACUACUUUUUUUGUUAUUUUUCUGUCUCGUUUUUAUUAUUGGGCUCUGUUGUGUUUGAUGUUUUAUACCGCCAUGAGGAAAUAAGUAGUGACCAUGCCAAUAUUAAGUGCAAGUGCGUAACAUCCUCCUCGCUCCUAUUUACGCACAUCCAUCUCUUGCGCAGCAUCCUAUUCCCAAUCCCCGCUUCACGCUCCAUCUCGUCGCCAACAGUUUUAGCCUGCCUAACAUUCCUCUAUCCAAAACAAAUAGCAUGAAGCCGAUUACUUAAUAUAGGCUAUGUUUCUGAGGGUUUCCAGUAUCUGCGGCGUAGGCUACAAUUCCCACCGGAUUCCAUUGCAUUUGUCACAAUAGCACUCGCUCUGACGCAGACAAAUGUAACUAUUUACCUGUCGCUCAUAAUUGAGAAUGGUAAUUGUAUUCGAUUAGUUUACUACCUCCACUAUAUGUAUCGUUUACUAAAUUGGCAUUUUCAUAUUUAUUUGAAAGUGAAGAGCAUUUUAAGAGGACCAUAUCCACAAUCACUAUAUUAUAGGCUAUAUCAGAUUUGUUUAUAGAUGUUUGUGAUAACACAUUGUAUUAGUUAAAUGUGUCGUUACAACAUCGUUUGCAUUAGGCUACUGAAAUUGGCAACACGUUUCUGUAAUUCCUAGAAUAAAAUUAUGAUUUAGCCUGAUAGCUUACCUCAACGUAUGUCUUCUUUCCUCCCUUGGCGACCCUUUCGGUUAGAUCAUGUUUUCAAUAACUGGAUAGCACCUGUUUCCAUGAAGCACCCCUCACAUUAUUACAGUAUCCCCAUCGAUUUUUCCAUAGCGCAACACGAGAAGCCCGCCCCUGACACUCCCCCUUCUGCUGGUUGGCCAGGCCUUGGUGAAUUAUUUUGCCUACGUCGGAAUCACAUGUGGUUGACGCAUGUUUACAAACAUUGGAUGAGAUCACAUGGUGAUGGGACCCAGUUUACAGUAAACCAUUCGACAUUAAGCAUAAAUUAGUGCUCGUCUGCUUGUAGGCCUAAAAACCGAAAUGAGUUACCUCUGGUUCUUUCGGACAUUCCUAUGGGGAAAGUUGAUGGCGUUUUGGGAUAAACACCGAAAAUAAAGUAUAAGGGUAACAAAGGCUUAGGAGAUCUUAUACGUUUUGUUCUAUGAAAUAAUAUCAGUCAGUCAACAUUACCUGUAUGAAUUAUUAAGCCUUUAUGUGCUUGUUUUGAUUAAACAAAUGCUUCAAAAAGUUAGCUGAUUUAAGAUUAUCUCAUAGAACUAAAAACGUCUAAGAUCUCCUAAGCAUGUGUUUACAAUAGACCGUAUUUUCGGUGUUCAUCAAAAAACCGUCAGAAACCUCAUUAAUUGACCAACUAGCCAUGCAGGACUUAGUGCCUACAAAAAUACUGCAUUACUAUAGCUCGCCAGACUGUAGUCCUAAAAAAACGGAAAUGAAACCUCUGGUUCGUUCCGCCAUUACUAAGGCAUUGUGAAUGCAGAAAAUAAGGUAUGAGGUUAAGAGAUCUUAUACAUUUUGUUCUAUAUUAUUAUUAUUAUUAUUAUUAUUAUUAUUAUAACAGUCAGUUAAAACAUGACCUGUAUGAAUUUUGAAGCCAUUAUGUGCUUAUUUUGAUUACGUAAAUGCUUCAAAAUUCACAAAAAGUGAUGUUAGCCGAUGAAUAUUAUCUCAGAGAACAAAACGUAUAGGUCUACAAAGCCUGUGUUUACAACAGACCUUCUUUUCCGGAUUCAUCCAAAAACCCUACAAAAUCCCAUUAAUUUCCGUUAGUGCCUACAAAAAGACGGCAUUACUAUUGCUCUCUAUACUAGUAGUUGUAAAGUAUUAUAUAAUCCCUUCGGCCUCAAAAUAAACAUUCACAUGGCUAUACUAUUGCCUUUAACAUGUUUAUAAUAGGUCUAUGGGAUUCUAUAAGCUUAUAGUAGGAUGGUAUAAGGUACAAAAGCAUUUUUCAGAUAUUAAAAUGUAUUACAUAAGUAUUACACAAUGUCUAAUGUUCUUGGAGAAAGUGGUACUUGAUGUUCUGUUCCCUCCUGUUUUGGUAUGCGGCAGCGGGAGAAAAAUUUGUGCCAGCCAGGGAGUUCGAUUUAGCUCGCCCGGGUUUCCCCAUAGAGAGGAGCUUACCCAGAGUUAAAACGGAUUGUAUUCGUUUUGAAACCGAGCUGCCUUCCGGGAAUGAGCCGGAUGCCCCUUUGAAUGCCGACGGCGAAGUCGGCGGGGGAAAAAAGUGUAUGUCAAGCAUAUGGAGUAAUGAGUUUGGAUUCAGUAUUUUCACGUGCAAAAGUGUAAAAACGCAUAAGCUGCCUUUCCAAGGAAAACUACUUUGAAAAUGUUAACGUGUUUUAUAUUUCUCAAAGAUUCGUCAUGCUGUUUUGUUGUCAUUAAGGCCUGGUGAUUCUCGAUUUGAGUCGGGUGCUCCUCCCUCACCGCUUUUGCCUCGUAAUGUGCCGUUUUUAGCCCAGUUCACCCCGGUUCAGUCUAAUCCAACUCCCUUAGUGUCCCUGAACUGUUAUUGUAAUUCCUUCUUCAAUACAGCAGAGGGCAAUAUAAUACAGAGGAGACACUGGCCUACACAAGUUGCCAUUACUUUGCUGCGUAGUUUGAUUUGAACAGCCAUACGAAGUAACAGGCCCCAUAUCUCAUUUUCUGAUCGAAGGGUUUUGUCUAGCUUUGUGUGUUCUUUGCAUCUCUAUCCCUGUGCAUUUUUACAACAAAUGAAAAUCAAAACACAUUCAUAAUUUGAUAAAAAAUCAUUGCUGACUUUUUGGUGGUAUGAUUACUGGC
Molecule: long non-coding RNA, 4104 nt
Filed under: Salmo salar (Atlantic salmon)
Lineage: Eukaryota; Metazoa; Chordata; Actinopteri; Salmoniformes; Salmonidae
Description: lncRNA (ENSSSAG00000084705.1)
Source: RNAcentral